RNAcentral lists this ribosomal RNA (253 nucleotides) under uncultured bacterium. Its description in RNAcentral is "partial 16S ribosomal RNA". It matches the Rfam family "Bacterial small subunit ribosomal RNA", at positions 524 to 776 of the family's 1533-position model. The record is from RNAcentral.
UACAGAGGUCUCAAGCGUUGUUCGGAUUCAUUGGGCGUAAAGGGUGCGUAGGUGGCGCUGUAAGUCGGGUGUGAAAUUUCGGAGCUUAACUCCGAAACUGCAUUCGAUACUGCGGGGCUUGAGGACUGGAGAGGAGACUGGAAUUCAUGGUGUAGCAGUGAAAUGCGUAGAGAUCAUGAGGAAGACCAGUGGCGAAGGCGGGUCUCUGGACAGUUCCUGACACUGAGGCACGAAGGCCAGGGGAGCAAACGGG